RNAcentral lists this ribosomal RNA (293 nucleotides) under uncultured bacterium. RNAcentral's name for it is "partial 16S ribosomal RNA". It matches the Rfam family "Bacterial small subunit ribosomal RNA", at positions 775 to 1067 of the family's 1533-position model. The record is from RNAcentral.
GGAUUAGAUACCCUGGUAGUCCACGCCGUAAACGUUGGGUGCUAGGUGUUGGGACAUUUCGCGUCUCAGUGCCGUAGCUAACGCGUUAAGCACCCCGCCUGGGGAGUACGGUCGCAAGAUUAAAACUCAAAGGAAUUGACGGGGGCCCGCACAAGCGGUGGAGCAUGUGGUUUAAUUCGAUGCAACGCGCAGAACCUUACCUGGGUUUGACAUCCUCGGAUCGAUACAGAGAUGUAUUUUCUUCUUCGGAAGUCGAGUGACAGGUGCUGCAUGGCUGUCGUCAGCUCGUGCCG